GCCCCCUGCUGGAUUUUCAAUAGAAUGCAGGUUUCAGGGACUUCCGCACUGGCUUCAUAUUGUAGACUGGUAGCUUCCCGCUUGGCCCAAACGGACAAAUGGCUACACAGACUACACAUCACUGAAGACGUAAUUAACCACCAGUGUGCCGGACAGGAGGCAGCCUGCACUGAAGCAUGAGGUUUACUGGACUCCACAUGCGAAGGAGAGACACUGAGAUCACGUCAGCCUGGACAGAGGCAGCACAUGUUUCCCAUCCAGACGUCUUGUUUAGAUCAGGUCGGACUGCUCACAGGUGAUGUGAAUUUGCAGGGAAAAGCCACACUGUUUACUAGCUCAGUGUGUAGGUAUCCUCAAAUAUUGCUCAUCCUAGAGAUGUGUAUGACCUAUGUAGAAGACAAUAAGUUGCCUUGAAAUGGCAUGUUGCUGUUUUCUUUUUAGGUAGAGACUUGCCCGUCCCCAUAUUCUCCUCACAGUGUUUGUGGAUUUUGGGAAAUGACUUGCCUGUUAUAUUACUUUUGAGUUUACAUUUGCUUUGGGAUCCCUGCCUGAAGUUACAUUAUGUAUGUGUUUUAUUUUACGUAUCUUAUUUAGUUGUAUUUGGCACAUUAUGUUCUAUUUUGUUCACUACAUUUUUUUGUUUUUUCUGUUGUUUUGUGUUUUACCUUUGAAAAGCACUUCAUGGUGCUGCUUUAAAAGAUGCUAUAUGAAUGAAGUUUAUAAUCGUUAUUGUACAAUAUUUUCACAUGUCAAUCAAGGCCCAAUAUCAUGCUCUCGAUCAUGUGGCUGUGGAGGUCAAUAUGGUUUGGUUCACACACAACAGUCCUUAUGAAUAGCAUUUUAUGUCAUCAAUGAUACAUCCAUCAUACUCAUUUUCAAAUCAGUUGUAGAAUCUGUGGUCCCAAACGUUCAUCACAUCCUCUAACUCUGCACACAAUGUUGUUUUUGCACUGAUUUAUUCAUUCAGCCAGUUGAGAGCAGUAUGUGACUGUUUGGUUUCUGUACAUAAACUCUUGUUGCAGAUGUUCAGCCUGUUUUACAGUAUUCAAACAGUCCAGUAAAUGUACUGGAUGGUAUUUACAAGAGGUUUCAAGUUGCUUUUUGCGUGUACUAUUUUCUCCUGUUGGAAAGCGGUUGGUAAAAUUUCUAUGGUGGUUGCAUGUAAUGAAUAGCCCCUAUUAUGGUUUGGACAACACAUAGCUACAUGACUGACUCAGGUCCUGAUGAACAAGCCUGACUGCACACUCCUGGGAAACAGCUUUGUUUUUUGAGGAUUUCUAACCUGAGAGUCACAGACUGUGUAAUUCUCUCAUACCUUCCUGCCGGCAGUAAAUCAACCUUGUUGUCCUCUUUGUUCCACCUCCUUUGUUUUAUGAACUUCAUGAACUCCAUAGCUACAUCAAACCUUCAUAGCCUCCGCAAGUGCCUGCUCACUACAUAAUUCUGCUAGAGCCAUUAAGCCAGCGCCACAUCCAAAACACGUCAUAACAUCACAUCCAUGUAUUCUGUAAUGUGUUGCCUAGGUGACUGAUGGAAGUGCCUGCAGGGUCUUCUGAAGACUUUCAGGAUUUCAAAAUAUAAAAGCCUGCCAUGUCAUCCAGUGGGCACGUAUACACCCACUUCAAAUACCACCCAUGAUGCAUGCUGGGAUGGUGCCACAUUGUUGCAUAUGUGGACAAUCAGAUCAUUCUCAUACUCUUAUUACAUACCUUUUCUUCUGAUACCUCUAUUUUUCAGCUGGGCCACAUGUCUGGAAUAAAAUUAACUCAAUCAAUCUCCUCAA
This is a long non-coding RNA of Micropterus dolomieu (smallmouth bass), 1783 nucleotides long. RefSeq lists it as uncharacterized. The record is from RefSeq and is a predicted model, not a curated record. NCBI's taxonomy places the organism in Eukaryota, Metazoa, Chordata, Actinopteri, Centrarchiformes, Centrarchidae. The transcript is spliced from 2 exons.